This 312-nucleotide ribosomal RNA is filed under the name uncultured bacterium. Its description in RNAcentral is "bacterial SSU rRNA". It matches the Rfam family "Bacterial small subunit ribosomal RNA", at positions 28 to 329 of the family's 1533-position model. The record is from RNAcentral.
GACGAACGCUGGCGGCGUGCUUAACACAUGCAAGUCGAGCGGGAACCUCGGGAGGGGGUAACCCUUCCGAGGGGAGAGCGGCGAACGGGUGAGUAACACGUGGGCAACCUGCCCCGGACACCGGGAUAACCCAGGGAAACCUGAGCUAAUACCGGAUACUCCGGCACGAUCGCAUGGUCGUUCCGGGAAAGCUCCGACGGUCCGGGAUGGGCCCGCGGCCUAUCAGCUUGUUGGUGAGGUAACGGCCCACCAAGGCGACGACGGGGUAGCUGGUCUGAGAGGACGGCCAGCCACACUGGGACUGAGACACGG